GAAAGAUGAAAAGAACUUUGAAAAGAGAGUUAAACAGUACGUGAAAUUGUUGAAAGGGAAACGAUUGAAGCCAGUCGUACCUGCGGAUAAUCAACCUUUAGAUGCGAUUUUGUGGAGUGUGAGGAGCUAAUCGCCUUCAUGCCUGUAUAUUCGUGUACUUGGGGUGUACUUAUUCGUGAGGUAAGUUAACAUCAAUUUUGGUGGUCAUAAAAUGACUGGAGGAAUGUAGCUUCGAUCUCGUAUUGAAGUGUUAUA
Molecule: ribosomal RNA, 255 nt
Filed under: uncultured Rhizophagus
Lineage: Eukaryota; Fungi; Glomeromycota; Glomeromycetes; Glomerales; Glomeraceae
Description: partial large subunit ribosomal RNA
Rfam family: Eukaryotic large subunit ribosomal RNA
Source: RNAcentral